AAAGGAAUUGACGGAGACUCGCACAAGCGGUGGAACAUGAGGUUCAAUUCGACAGUAAACGAAAAACCUUACCAGGGCUUGAAAUUCUGACGUUCUAUUUCGACGAAAGUCGAGAAAUCCGCAAGGAGGUCAGGACAGGUGCUGCAUGGUUGUCGUCAGCUCGUGCUUUGAAGUGUUCCCUUAAGUGGGGAAACGAGCGCAACCCUCGUCCCGAGUUUCAUGUAUCUCGGGAGACUGCCCGGUUUAACUGGGAGGAAGGGGGGGAUGACGUCAAAUCCGCACGGCCCUCUGAUGCCCUGGGCGACACUCAUGUUACAAUGGCCGGCACAAUGGGUUUGCCAAGCCGUAAGGCGGAGCUAAUCCCAUCAAAACCGGUCUCAGUUCGGAUUGAGGGCUGAAACCCGCCCUCAUGAAGCCGGAAUCGCUAGUAAUCGCGGAUCAGCGCGCCGCGGUGAAUACGUUCUCGAGUCUUGUACACACCGCCCGU
This 487-nucleotide ribosomal RNA is filed under the name uncultured bacterium. RNAcentral's name for it is "bacterial SSU rRNA". It matches the Rfam family "Bacterial small subunit ribosomal RNA", at positions 903 to 1397 of the family's 1533-position model. The record is from RNAcentral.